UACGUAGGGGGCAAGCGUUGUCCGGAUUUAUUGGGCGUAAAGAGCGUGUAGGCGGCCAGGUAGGUCAGCUGUGAAAACUCGAGGCUCAACCUCGAGACGUCGGUUGAAACCACCUGGCUAGAGUCCGGAAGAGGAGAGUGGAAUUCCCGGUGUAGCGGUGAAAUGCGCAGAUAUCGGGAAGAACACCCGUGGCGAAGGCGGCUCUCUGGGACGGUACUGACGCUGAGACGCGAAAGCGUGGGGAGCGAACAGG
Molecule: ribosomal RNA, 253 nt
Filed under: uncultured bacterium
Lineage: Bacteria
Description: partial 16S ribosomal RNA
Rfam family: Bacterial small subunit ribosomal RNA
Source: RNAcentral